RNAcentral lists this ribosomal RNA (710 nucleotides) under Phytophthora sp. MAFF 238158. RNAcentral describes it as "eukaryotic LSU rRNA". It matches the Rfam family "Eukaryotic large subunit ribosomal RNA", at positions 81 to 618 of the family's 3401-position model. Lineage: Eukaryota; Oomycota; Peronosporomycetes; Peronosporales; Peronosporaceae. The record is from RNAcentral.
UAGUACGGCGAGUGAAGCGGGAAGAGCUCAAGCUUAAAAUCUCCGUGCAAGUUUUGCGCGGCGAAUUGUAGUCUAUAGAGGCGUGGUCAGCGUGGGCGCUUGGGGCAAGUUCCUUGGAAGAGGACAGCAUGGAGGGUGAUACUCCCGUUCAUCCCUGAGUGGCUCGUGCGUACGACCCGUUUUCUUUGAGUCGCGUUGUUUGGGAAUGCAGCGCAAAGUAGGUGGUAAAUUCCAUCUAAAGCUAAAUAUUGGUGCGAGACCGAUAGCGAACAAGUACCGUGAGGGAAAGAUGAAAAGAACUUUGAAAAGAGAGUUAAAGAGUACCUGAAACUGCUGAAAGGGAACCGAAUCGUUUCCAGUGUCUAUAAUCUGUGGCAUAUUUCAUUGGCGAGCGUUUGCGUGCAUGUGCUGUGGCAGUGGCUUUUUUGGCUGCGCCUGGUGUGUGUGGUGUGAGUGUUUGCUGGUGCCCUGUGCUGCGGUGGGACGUCAAGGUCAGUUCGUAUGCUGCGGGAAAUGGCUGCCGAGGAGGUAGGGCUUACGCUCCGCGUUUGUCUGUUAUAUCUUGGUGGACGAGUCGUCGCGGUUGGGACUGAGGUGCCUACAACGUGCUUUUGAGUGGGUUUGUGUCUCCGUGUGCGCCGUGUGCGGAUAGCUUGCUAUGCGUGUGUGGUUGUGUGUGGAUGGAUGCGGGCCUUAACUUGUCGCCGUUC